CCCCCCAUAGCUCAAUGGCUAGAGCGCACGGCUGUAGACCGUGAGGUUCCCGGUUCGAGUCUGGGUGGGGGGA
Molecule: transfer RNA, 73 nt
Filed under: Candidatus Woesearchaeota archaeon
Lineage: Archaea; Nanobdellati; Candidatus Woesearchaeota
Description: tRNA-Tyr
Rfam family: tRNA
About the family: Transfer RNA (tRNA) molecules are approximately 80 nucleotides in length.
Source: RNAcentral